UACGUAGGUGGCGAGCGUUGUCCGGAUUUACUGGGCGUAAAGAGCGCGCAGGCGGUCGUACAAGUCGCGUGUGAAAGCCCCCGGCUCAACUGGGGAGGGUCACGCGAUACUGUUCGACUCGAAGGCAGGAGAGGGUAGUGGAAUUCCCGGUGUAGUGGUGAAAUUCGUAGAUAUCGGGAGGAACACCGGUGGCGAAGGCGGCGACCUGGGUCGAGACUGACGCUGAGGCGCGAAAGCGUGGGGAGCAAACAGG
Molecule: ribosomal RNA, 253 nt
Filed under: uncultured bacterium
Lineage: Bacteria
Description: partial 16S ribosomal RNA
Rfam family: Bacterial small subunit ribosomal RNA
Source: RNAcentral